UACGUAGGGCGCAAGCGUUGUCCGGAAUUAUUGGGCGUAAAGAGCUCGUAGGCGGUUUUGUCGCGUCUGCUGUGAAAACUGGAGGCUCAACCUCCAGCCUGCAGUGGGUACGGGCAAACUAGAGUGCGGUAGGGGGAGAUUGGAAUUCCUGGUGUAGCGGUGGAAUGCGCAGAUAUCAGGAGGGAACACCGAUGGCGAAAGGCAGAUCUCUGGGCCGUAACUGACGCUGAGGAGCGAAAAGCAUGGGGGAGCGAACAGG
Molecule: ribosomal RNA, 259 nt
Filed under: uncultured bacterium
Lineage: Bacteria
Description: partial 16S ribosomal RNA
Rfam family: Bacterial small subunit ribosomal RNA
Source: RNAcentral